ACGGGAGGCAGCAGUGGGGAAUAUUGGGCAAUGGGGGCAACCCUGACCCAGCAACGCCGCGUGAAGGAAGAAGGCUUUCGGGUUGUAAACUUCUUUGUCGAGGGACGAUAAUGACGGUACCUCGAAAACAAGCCACGGCUAACUACGUGCCAGCAGCCGCGGUAAUACGUAGGGGGCAAGCGUUAUCCGGAUUUACUGGGUGUAAAGGGAGCGUAGACGGCUUUGCAAGUCUGAAGUGAAAGCCCGGGGCUCAACCCCGGAACUGCUUUGGAAACUGUAGAGCUAGAGUGCAGGAGAGGUAAGUGGAAUUCCUAGUGUAGCGGUGAAAUGCGUAGAUAUUAGGAGGAACACCAGUGGCGAAGGCGGCUUACUGGACUGUAACUGACGUUGAGGCUCGAAGGCGUGGGGAGCAAACAGGAUUAGAUACCCUGGUA
RNAcentral lists this ribosomal RNA (434 nucleotides) under uncultured Clostridium sp. RNAcentral describes it as "partial 16S ribosomal RNA". It matches the Rfam family "Bacterial small subunit ribosomal RNA", at positions 341 to 792 of the family's 1533-position model. The record is from RNAcentral. Lineage: Bacteria; Bacillati; Bacillota; Clostridia; Eubacteriales; Clostridiaceae.